CCUGUAGCUCAGUGGAUAGAGCAAUGGCCUCCGGAGCCAUGCGCGUGGGUUCGAUUCCCGUCAGGUG
RNAcentral lists this transfer RNA (67 nucleotides) under uncultured Catenibacillus sp. It matches the Rfam family "tRNA". From Rfam's summary of the family: Transfer RNA (tRNA) molecules are approximately 80 nucleotides in length. Their secondary structure includes four short double-helical elements and three loops (D, anti-codon, and T loops). Further hydrogen bonds mediate the characteristic L-shaped molecular structure. tRNAs have two regions of fundamental functional importance: the anti-codon, which is responsible for specific mRNA codon recognition, and the 3' end, to which the tRNAs corresponding amino acid is attached (by aminoacyl-tRNA synthetases). tRNAs cope with the degeneracy of the genetic code in two manners: having more than one tRNA (with a specific anti-codon) for a particular amino acid; and 'wobble' base-pairing, i.e. permitting non-standard base-pairing at the 3rd anti-codon position. The record is from RNAcentral. Lineage: Bacteria; Bacillati; Bacillota; Clostridia; Lachnospirales; Lachnospiraceae.